RNAcentral lists this ribosomal RNA (385 nucleotides) under uncultured bacterium. RNAcentral describes it as "bacterial SSU rRNA". It matches the Rfam family "Bacterial small subunit ribosomal RNA", at positions 370 to 772 of the family's 1533-position model. The record is from RNAcentral.
AAUGGGCGAAAGCCUGACGCAGCAACGCCGCGUGCGGGAUGAAGGCCUUCGGGUUGUAAACCGCUUUCAGCAGGGACGAAAAUGACUGUACCUGCAGAAGAAGCCCCGGCUAACUACGUGCCAGCAGCCGCGGUAAUACGUAGGGGGCAAGCGUUAUCCGGAUUUAUUGGGCGUAAAGCGCGUGUAGGCGGCUUGUUAAGUCAGAUGUGAAAACCGGGGGCUCAACCCGCGGCCUGCAUCUGACACUGGCAGGCUGGAGGCUGGUAGAGGAAAGUGGAAUUCCUAGUGUAGCGGUGAGAUGCGCAGAUAUUAGGAGGAACACCAGUGGCGAAGGCGGCUCUCUGGACCGAUACUGACGCUGAGUCGCGAAAGCGUGGGUAGCAAA